AUUGAACGCUGGCGGCAUGCCUUACACAUGCAAGUCGAACGGCAGCACGGGAGCAAUCCUGGUGGCGAGUGGCGAACGGGUGAGUAAUGUAUCGGAACGUACCUUUCAGUGGGGGAUAACGUAGCGAAAGUUACGCUAAUACCGCAUAUUCUGUGAGCAGGAAAGCAGGGGAUCGCAAGACCUUGCGCUGAUUGAGCGGCCGAUAUCAGAUUAGCUAGUUGGUGAGGUAAAGGCUCACCAAGGCGACGAUCGUGUAGCGGGUCUGACGAGGAUGAUCCGCCACACUGGAACUGAGACGACGGUCCAGACUCCUACGGGAGGCAGCAGUGGGGAAUUUUGGACAAUGGGCGCAAGCCUGAUCCAGCCAUGCGCGUGAGUGAAGAAGGCCUCGGUUGUAAG
RNAcentral lists this ribosomal RNA (399 nucleotides) under uncultured bacterium. RNAcentral describes it as "bacterial SSU rRNA". It matches the Rfam family "Bacterial small subunit ribosomal RNA", at positions 30 to 429 of the family's 1533-position model. The record is from RNAcentral.